RNAcentral lists this ribosomal RNA (253 nucleotides) under uncultured bacterium. Its description in RNAcentral is "partial 16S ribosomal RNA". It matches the Rfam family "Bacterial small subunit ribosomal RNA", at positions 524 to 776 of the family's 1533-position model. The record is from RNAcentral.
UACGGGGGGAGCAAGCGUUGUUCGGAUUUACUGGGCGUAAAGGGCGCGUAGGCGGCGCAACAAGUCACUUGUGAAAUCUCCGGGCUUAACCCGGAGCGGCCAAGUGAUACUGUCGUGCUAGAGUGCGGAAGGGGCUACUGGAAUUCUCGGUGUAGCGGUGAAAUGCGUAGAUAUCGAGAGGAACACCUGCGGCGAAGGCGGGUAGCUGGGCCGACACUGACGCUGAGGCGCGAAAGCCAGGGGAGUGAACGGG